Molecule: long non-coding RNA, 345 nt
Filed under: Manihot esculenta (cassava)
Lineage: Eukaryota; Viridiplantae; Streptophyta; Magnoliopsida; Malpighiales; Euphorbiaceae
Description: long non-coding RNA (MESC_LNC011645)
Source: RNAcentral
ACUAAUAAACUUUCUUCAAAUCUUGGUACAUUUUGGUGGCUCCGGGGUGAACGCUGUAUCUUGCAUUAUGAGCCUCUCUCAUAAUGUCUCCCUUUAGCCCUAUGUCAUCUGGUACACACAAUCGACUCCCAUAGCGGAGGAUCCCCUUGUUGUCGAAUCUGAACUCACUAUCCUUGCCUGACUGAACAGUCCUGGCAAUCUUCACUAACUCUGGGUCCUCAUGCUGUUUCUGAGCCACCUGCUCCAGAAACACGGGUGCCACUCUCAUCUGGGCAACUAAAGCACCUGUACCAGACAACUCCAACUGUAGACCUUCAUCAAUGAGCUUGUAAAACUCCUUCACCA